CAACGACAACGGAAAGCAACUUGGACGUACACUCGAUGGAUUCCCUAUUCCCCCGAUGAGAUACAUAUAUUCUCCCUUUUCGAUUUAGGCGGAACCUUGACAAGAUGGAGGCGUUCUCCGCCCCAGCUCCCACGAGUCCUCCGCUUUCGCCUUCGAGGAGGAGGUGCCGGGAAGUUGCUCGAAGAUGUGAACGCCUAUGCUGUAAUGUGUUCAUAUAUUUCCCGUUGGCAUUCGUGUACGGACUUACGACAUGGUCUGUAUAUGUGGAAGCAAAGAUAGGAAUGCAACCAACAAAAAGCAGGUGGAUUGGUCCUGCAACAUCCGUUCUCGGAAUAAUCCUUUACAUCCUUUUAAAUUCUUCGUAUACGAUUGCUGUCUUCACAGAUCCGGGUUCUCCGUUGACGGGGCCUCGGACGAAUAGUCGCGGAAACGGACAUAUGUAUAGCUCUCUUCCCACGACGGAAACAUCCGGUUAUACAAACCUGACGGUGAGCUCGGCGGGUGGUAAAAGAUACUGCAAAAAGUGUAUGUGCAUCAAACCUGAUCGCACCCACCACUGUUCGUCAUGCCAGCGCUGUGUUCUCAAGAUGGAUCACCAUUGCCCUUGGCUAGCUACGUGCGUCGGGUUCCGUAACUACAAACCGUUUUUGCUGUUUUUGAUAUACACAUGUUUAUUUUGUUGGGUAUGCUUUGCAGUUUCUGCAACCUGGGUUUGGACAGAGAUAUUGAAUGAUACUCGGUAUAUCGAAUCAUUCGGUCCUGUCGCCAAUGUUCUCUUAGCCGUCAUAG
Molecule: small RNA, 789 nt
Filed under: Histoplasma capsulatum var. duboisii H88
Lineage: Eukaryota; Fungi; Ascomycota; Eurotiomycetes; Onygenales; Ajellomycetaceae
Description: Histoplasma capsulatum H88 hypothetical RNA
Source: RNAcentral